GGGUGGUAAUGCCGGAUGUUCCACAUGAUCGCAUGUGAUUGUGGGAAAGAUUCUAUCGGCGUGGGAUGGGGUCGCGUCCUAUCAGCUUGUUGGUGAGGUAACGGCUCACCAAGGCUUCGACGGGUAGCCGGCCUGAGAGGGCGACCGGCCACAUUGGGACUGAGAUACGGCCCAGACUCCUACGGGAGGCAGCAGUGGGGAAUAUUGCACAAUGGGCGCAAGCCUGAUGCAGCGACGCCGCGUGAGGGAUGGAGGCCUUCGGGUUGUAAACCUCUUUUGUUUGGGAGCAAGCCUUCGGGUGAGUGUACCUUUCGAAUAAGCGCCGGCUAACUACGUGCCAGCAGCCGCGGUAAUACGUAGGGCGCAAGCGUUAUCCGGAUUUAUUGGGCGUAAAGGGCUCGUAGGCGGCUCGUCGCGUCCGGUGUGAAAGUCCAUCGCUUAACGGUGGAUCUGCGCCGGGUACGGGCGGGCUGGAGUGCGGUAGGGGAGACUGGAAUUCCCGGUGUAACGGUGGAAUGUGUAGAUAUCGGGAAAGAACACCA
RNAcentral lists this ribosomal RNA (542 nucleotides) under Bifidobacterium bifidum. RNAcentral's name for it is "bacterial SSU rRNA". It matches the Rfam family "Bacterial small subunit ribosomal RNA", at positions 158 to 711 of the family's 1533-position model. The record is from RNAcentral. Lineage: Bacteria; Bacillati; Actinomycetota; Actinomycetes; Bifidobacteriales; Bifidobacteriaceae.